Molecule: ribosomal RNA, 397 nt
Filed under: uncultured bacterium
Lineage: Bacteria
Description: partial 16S ribosomal RNA
Rfam family: Bacterial small subunit ribosomal RNA
Source: RNAcentral
AUACGUAGGGAGCGAGCGUUGUCCGGAUUUACUGGGCGUAAAGGGCGCGUAGGCGGGUAAAUAAGUCAGAUGUGAAAACUAUGGGCUCAACCCAUAGCCUGCAUUUGAAACUGUAUAUCUUGAGGGCAGGAGAGGAAAGUGGAAUUCCUAGUGUAGCGGUGAAAUGCGUAGAUAUUAGGAGGAACACCAGUGGCGAAGGCGACUUUCUGGACUAAACCGGACGCUGAAGCGCGAAAGCAUGGGGAGCAAACAGGAGUAGAGACCCUGGUAGUCCAUGCCGUAAACGAUGAAUACUAGGUGUAGGGGGUAUCGACCCCCUCUGUGCCGCAGUUAACACAAUAAGUAUUCCGCCUGGGGAGUACGGCCGCAAGGUUGAAACUCAAAUGAAUUGGCGGGG